Molecule: ribosomal RNA, 473 nt
Filed under: uncultured Clostridium sp.
Lineage: Bacteria; Bacillati; Bacillota; Clostridia; Eubacteriales; Clostridiaceae
Description: bacterial SSU rRNA
Rfam family: Bacterial small subunit ribosomal RNA
Source: RNAcentral
CGAAUGAAGUUCCUUCGGGAACGGAUUUAGCGGCNGACGGGUGAGUAACACGUGGGCAACCUGCCUCAUAGAGGGGAAUAGCCUUCCGAAAGGGAGAUUAAUACCGCAUAAGAUUGUAGUACCGCAUGGUACAGCAAUUAAAGGAGCAAUCCGCUAUGAGAUGGGCCCGCGGCGCAUUAGCUAGUUGGUGAGGUAACGGCUCACCAAGGCGACGAUGCGUAGCCGACCUGAGAGGGUGAUCGGCCACAUUGGGACUGAGACACGGCCCAGACUCCUACGGGAGGCAGCAGUGGGGAAUAUUGCACAAUGGGGGAAACCCUGAUGCAGCAACGCCGCGUGAGUGAUGACGGCCUUCGGGUUGUAAAGCUCUGUCUUCAGGGACGAUAAUGACGGUACCUGAGGAGGAAGCCACGGCUAACUACGUGCCAGCAGCCGCGGUAAUACGUAGGUGGCGAGCGUUGUCCGGAUUUACU